AAAAUACUCCCUCCAUCCGAAAAUACUUGUCUUAAAAAUGGAUAAAAUGGAUGUAUCUAUAACUAAAAUAAGUCUAGAUACAACUAUUUCGAGGACAAGUAUUUCCGGACGGAGGGAGUACUUC
Molecule: non-coding RNA, 124 nt
Organism: Triticum aestivum (bread wheat)
Lineage: Eukaryota; Viridiplantae; Streptophyta; Magnoliopsida; Poales; Poaceae
Source: Rfam